GAUGAACGCUGGCGGCGUGCCUAAUACAUGCCAGUCGAGCGAACAGACGAGUAGCUUGCUCCUCUGACGUUAGCGGCGGGCGGGUGAGUCACGUGUGGAUAACCUACCUCUCAGCCUGGGAUAACUUCGGGACACCGGCGCUAAUCCCGGAUAAUAUCUUUAACCGCAUGGUUCAAUAGUGAUAGACGGUUUUGCUGUCGCUUAUAGCUGAUUCCGCGCCGCAUUAGCUAGUUGGUAAGGUAACCGGUUACCAAGGCAACGAUGGGUAGCCGAACUGAGCGGGUGGUAGGCGACACUGGAACUGGGACACGGUCCAGACGCCUACGGGACGCAGCAGUAGGGAAUGGGACGCAGUGGGCGGAAGCCUGACGGAGCAACGGCGAGCGUGUGAUGAAGGUCUUCGGAGCGGAAAGCCGGGUUACUAGGGGAGAACAAAUGUGGAAGGAACUAUGGCCGACGUGACGGUACCUAAUGAGAAAGCCACGGCUAACUACGUG
Molecule: ribosomal RNA, 497 nt
Filed under: uncultured bacterium
Lineage: Bacteria
Description: partial 16S ribosomal RNA
Rfam family: Bacterial small subunit ribosomal RNA
Source: RNAcentral